UGAUCCUGGCUCAGACUCAAGUCCUACAAGGGAUCCAGUAAAGUUUGAUCAGUGUGAAACGGCUGAGUAACACGGGGGUAACCUGCCCAUCACAAGGGGAUAACACUUGGAAACAGGUGCUAAUACCGUUUUGCUCUAUUUUCCGCAUGGAAUAAAGUGGAAAGGCGCUUUUGCGUCGCUGAUGCAUGGACCCGCGGUGUAUUAGCUACUUGGUGAGGUAACGGAUCUGCAAAGCCACGAUGCACAUCCGACCUGGAACGGAGACCCGGCACACUGGAACUGAGACACAGUCCAAACUCAUACGGGAGGAAGGAGUAAGGAACCUUGGGCAAUGGACCAAAGGCUGACCGACGGACGCCGGAUGAGUGAAGAAGGAUUUCGGAUCGUAAAAGUCUGGUGUUAAAGACUAGCUGGGAUGACAGUAGAACCUUCAUCCCUUGACGGUAUCUAACCACAAAUACCCGCGUAACUACGAGCCAGCAAACGCGUAAAUACGUAGGUGGGACGCGAAGUCCGGAUUUAUUGGGCGUCAAGCGAGCGCAUGUGGCUCCGUAAUUCUGAUGCGAAAGCCCCCCGCUCAUGCUGAGAGGGACAUUGGAAACUGGAAGACUUGAGUGCAGAGUAGGAGAGUGAAAUUCCAUGUGUAGCGGGAACAUGCGUAGAUAUAUGCAAGAACCCCAGUGGACAAUGUGGCUUCUCUAGCUGUGUAUCUGACGCUGAA
This 721-nucleotide ribosomal RNA is filed under the name Enterococcus gallinarum. RNAcentral describes it as "bacterial SSU rRNA". It matches the Rfam family "Bacterial small subunit ribosomal RNA", at positions 43 to 750 of the family's 1533-position model. The record is from RNAcentral. Lineage: Bacteria; Bacillati; Bacillota; Bacilli; Lactobacillales; Enterococcaceae.